CUAUCACUCUUUUGAAGCCAUUUGGAUCCGUUAAGUGGCAGAGGCAGACCAUUCAAAUUGGUCUCACCUCCCUGCAGAUGGGAAGGGUUGUGGAGAAGUCUAGUUGUACCAGGAAGUGAUCUGACCAUUGGCACUUGUUUUGUUUGACUGGAACUAUCCCUUAUUUGCCAGUCCCUCUUCACAUUUUCUGAAGUUCUUGGUCUCUUCAGUGUCUGAAGCUGUCCAUUUCCUCAUCUUUGUUCAGCUUCCUCCUCAGAUUCAGAAGAAACAACAGCAAUUAGCUGGCAGUCAGAACCUGAUCUCUUUCUAAUAACUACCACACAAGAACAAACAACCAAACAAUCCUCCCCAGAUUCCUCCGUGGAUUCAGAAGAAACAACAGCAAUUAGCAGUCAGUCAGAACCUGAUCUCUUUCUAAUAACUACCACACAAGAACAAACAAACAACCAAUCAGGCUUCAGCCCUAUUCCAACAGAAUACCUGAUUUAUGGGCUUUUCGCCUUGAAAACCCUUAUCUUCCUGGGUCUGGUCAUUGCAAUUAUCUGGAUGCAUAGAAGAUACAAUCAGAAGAGACCUUCAGCUGCCACACGGCAAGAAAAUGCUGCACAGUAAUCCCACAGUGACCAAUGUAACUGUUGUUAAGCUUCUUUACAUAAUAUAUUGUUUUAGCUAAUGCUGUUAUAACUCCAGUAUUCAAACUAUUUGUGUCUUAAUAGGCUUGAUCUUCCCUAAAAAAGAGCAAUAAAAGGUAUGCCACAG
This is a non-coding RNA of Podarcis muralis (Common wall lizard), 759 nucleotides long. Lineage: Eukaryota; Metazoa; Chordata; Lepidosauria; Squamata; Lacertidae. The record is from RefSeq and is a predicted model, not a curated record.